UACGUAGGGGGCAAGCGUUGUCCGGAUUUAUUGGGCGUAAAGAGCGUGUAGGCGGUUUGGUAGGUCCGCUGUGAAAACUCGAGGCUCAACCUCGAGACGCCGGUGGAAACCAUCAGACUAGAGUCCGGAAGAGGAGAGUGGAAUUCCUGGUGUAGCGGUGAAAUGCGCAGAUAUCAGGAAGAACACCCGCGGCUAAGGCGGCUCUCUAGUACGGUACUGACGCUGAGACGCGAAAGCGUGGGGAGCGAACAGG
This 253-nucleotide ribosomal RNA is filed under the name uncultured bacterium. RNAcentral describes it as "partial 16S ribosomal RNA". It matches the Rfam family "Bacterial small subunit ribosomal RNA", at positions 524 to 776 of the family's 1533-position model. The record is from RNAcentral.